RNAcentral lists this ribosomal RNA (301 nucleotides) under uncultured bacterium. RNAcentral's name for it is "partial 16S ribosomal RNA". It matches the Rfam family "Bacterial small subunit ribosomal RNA", at positions 509 to 807 of the family's 1533-position model. The record is from RNAcentral.
CAGCCGCCGCGGGAAUACGGAGGGUGCAAGCGUUAAUCGGAAUUACUGGGCGUAAAGCGUGCGUAGGCGGUUCGUUAAGUCUGUUGUGAAAGCCCCGGGCUCAACCUGGGAAUGGCAAUGGAUACUGGGUCACUAGAGUGUGGUAGAGGAUAGUGGAAUUUCCGGUGUAGCAGUGAAAUGCGUAGAGAUCGGAAGGAACAUCUGUGGCGAAGGCGACUAUCUGGGCCAACACUGACACUGAGGCACGAAAGCGUGGGGAGCAAACAGGAUUAGAUACCCCUGUAGUCCCUGUCUCUUAUAC